UGGGGAAUUUUGGACAAUGGGCGAAAGCCUGAUCCAGCAAUGCCGCGUGUGUGAAGAAGACCUUCGGGUUGUAAAGCACUUUUGUCCGGAAAGAAAUCCUUGGCUCUAAUACAGUCGGGGGAUGACGGUACCGGAAGAAUAAGCACCGGCUAACUACGUGCCAGCAGCCGCGGUAAUACGUAGGGUGCAAGCGUUAAUCGGAAUUACUGGGCGUAAAGCGUGCGCAGGCGGUUUGCUAAGACCGAUGUGAAAUCCCCGGGCUCAACCUGGGAACUGCAUUGGUGACUGGCAGGCUAGAGUAUGGCAGAGGGGGGUAGAAUUCCACGUGUAGCAGUGAAAUGCGUAGAGAUGUGGAGGAAUACCGAUGGCGAAGGCAGCCCCCUGGGCCAAUACUGACGCUCAUGCACGAAAGCGUGGGGAGCAAACAGGAUUAGAUACCCUGGUAGUCCACGCCCUAAAACGAUGUCAACUAGUUGUUGGGGAUUCAUUUCCUUAGUAACGUAGCUAACGCGUGAAGUUGACCGCCUGGGGAGUACGGUCGCAAGAUUAAAACUUAAAUGAAUUGAC
This 567-nucleotide ribosomal RNA is filed under the name uncultured bacterium. RNAcentral describes it as "partial 16S ribosomal RNA". It matches the Rfam family "Bacterial small subunit ribosomal RNA", at positions 355 to 914 of the family's 1533-position model. The record is from RNAcentral.